RNAcentral lists this non-coding RNA (26 nucleotides) under Mus musculus (house mouse). Lineage: Eukaryota; Metazoa; Chordata; Mammalia; Rodentia; Muridae. The record is from RNAcentral.
UGAGGACCACCAAGUAGGACCAGGCC